UGAACUAGAAGGUUCUUCAUUUAUAUUAGAUGUAUGUUCAUGGGCAACUGUAUUUGAAGGAAUAGAAAUCGGCAAUUCACUGACCAUUCCUUUGUUUGGGGAAAUGUCAGAUGCAACAUGAGAUUCAGAUUUAGCUGGAAAAUCAACUGAAAUAUGCUGUGUCAUCUUGCAUGCUUCAUCUUCUAUUCCUUCAUUGUUAACAUUGGAGGAAAAUUGCUCCAAUUCAUGCUUCGUUUGGCAUUCAAGGUCAUUUUCAGAUUCUGAUUCUAUGGUGUUAAGGGCAUCUUCGUAAUUGUCUGGUUCACUUUCGACUUCAUCAAUCUCAAUUCUAUCAUUGCUUGAUUUCUGUGUAUCUUUACUGUCAAAAACCACGCCCCUUUCAUCAGGAUCUCUAAGGUCAGCAAUUUCCUCAUGCUGAAAGCCUAGAUCAUAAUCUGUGGUGAACAUCUCUGGAGAUUCAUUUCCAUCACAAUUUAGACCCUUAGUCUCCACUAUUUCUGCUUUUUCAUCCCACGUAUCACAAGAUGAACCAGGCACAAUUGGCUCAGGUGAUGAACUCUGAGGGAAAUUCUUAGUUUCAAUGCUGCAUUGUCCAUCAGGGAAAACUGAAUCAGGGAUAUCAUUAUGAUGCA
Molecule: unclassified non-coding RNA, 632 nt
Filed under: Hevea brasiliensis (rubber tree)
Lineage: Eukaryota; Viridiplantae; Streptophyta; Magnoliopsida; Malpighiales; Euphorbiaceae
Source: RNAcentral